Chelonoidis abingdonii (Abingdon island giant tortoise) is the source of this 1369-nucleotide non-coding RNA. Lineage: Eukaryota; Metazoa; Chordata; Testudines; Testudinidae. The record is from RefSeq and is a predicted model, not a curated record.
CUCAAAGCCCCCUCCGCCGCUCGGCCAAUGACGCCGCUGGCGACGAGCAGCCGGGAGGACCAAUAGCAACAGCAAGGCAAAAGGGGCAAAAUGAGUGGUACGUGGACUUCUGCUUGGUUGGAAAGCUGCUGCUUUCCUUCCUCCUGGCACAAGGACGGCUGCCCAGCUUUCCCCAAUACAUGGCAGCAACCCAGAGAAAGAAGCAGCCAUGAGACAGAAGAGCUGCUGGGAGCUGUGAAAUAAGGAAUGCUGCUACACGGCUGGCAAUCAUGGGGAUGCCAAAAGCUUUGGUGGUGUAAUAAGAUCACCGAUGAUGGACACAGAUUGAACAUCCAGCCAGCCUUAAAGACAUGUCCAAAGAUUGAUCCAGGUGGCACUCAAUCUGGAAGGAAUUUACCUUCUUUUGGGAUUUGCCAUGAUGAUGAUGAUAUCUUCCAGUGGCCUUCUAGAGUUUGCUAGUUCUUCCUUAUGCAAACCUCUGAAGAUUUCCCAAGACAUCGUCCUGAGCAGGUCUCCUUUUUAUUCAUGAUUCACAAAUGUUUAUGUUAAAAGGCUUUUUUAAUUUGCAUGAACAUAUGAGGAAUGCCUGUUCUUGGCAAACAAGGUUAGUCACUCUUCAGCACUGUUACUGAGAUGUUUCAAUCAUCCAGCUGAGAUGCACAAAUGAUACCAUGUGAUUUAAAUGACUACUCACAUUCCAAGAAUAACGAAUAGUGAAUAAUAAACUAAAUAGUUGAAGUCAACAGUUCAUGAGCACCCUUUAGGCUGAAAACUGGCCAAACUUAUAGAGCAGAUACUUGCAAACACAUAAAACCUUGUGUAGAAAUCAGAAUUGGUUCAUACAAAAUCAGUUCCCCAAAAGGGUUACAUGUCAACAAUUUAUUCACAACCAGCUCUAGUCAUAACUUACAAAUACUUUCCUAGUCUCGCAGAAAUAUUCACUAGUAUGUACUGAUCGCAUACCUCACAAAAACAGAGAGAGACCAGUUUUAAAGUAUGGAAGACAGCUGAUCAGAAAUUUUUUUGAAUUUCUGAUGAACAAUUGGGGGAGGGGAUUUUGGUGACAUUUUUCAGGGAAAAUAUUUCCUCUGCUAAUCUUAGAUCUCUGUUAUAUUUUUUUGUGAGGCUGCAUUCUGCUGAGGAGCAGAAGACUGCGGAGGAGUCAGGAGGCGCUUGAAAGGCUCAAGGUUGUCAAUUUCAUAACUGUAACAUGGGUCUUAAAGCCCCAGCUCCUUGAGUCAUGUGAUUAUGUGAGAAAUCAGCUUUCACAUAAAAAGAAAGUAUGCUUCUAACGCUCAUUUUGGCAAAGAAAUCUUGGAAAUGUGAACCCUAAAGGCUCAGAAAAGAGAAGGCAAAAGAACCUGCAAUU